UACACUUUAAAUCCUUUAACGAGGAUCUAGUGGAGGGCAAGUCUGGUGCCAGCAGCCGCGGUAAUUCCAGCUCCAAUAGCGUAUAUUAAAGUUGUUGUGGUUAAAAAGCUCGUAGUUGGAUCUCGGUUUCGGGUGAAUGGUGCACCUUGCGGUGUUUACUAUUUACUCGGACGAUUUUGUUGGUUCGUUCCUGGUUCUCUUUAUCGAGUGCCUUGAGUGGCCAACACGUUUACUUUGAAAAAAUUGGAGUGCUCAAAGCAGGCGCUACAGCCUGAACAUUAGUGCAUGGAAUAAUGGAAUAGGAUCUCGGUUCUACUUCGUUGGCUUUCGGAGUCGAGGUAAUGAUUAAUAGGGACAGACGGGGGCAUUCGUACUGCGACGUUAGAGGUGAAAUUCUUGGAUCGUCGCAAGACGAACUACUGCGAAAGCAUUUGCCAAGAAUGUUUUCAUUAAUCAAGAACGAAAGUUAGAGGUUCGAAGGCGAUCAGAUACCGCCCUAGUUCUAACCAUAAACGAUGUCGACCGGCAAUCUGCUCUCGUUAAAUUAAUGACUGAGCAGGCGGCCUGCUGGAAACAAGAGUAUUUGGAUUCCAGGGGGAGUAUGGUUGCAAAGCUGAAACUUAAAAGAAUUGACGGAAGGGCACCACCAGGAGUGGAGCCUGCGGCUUAAUUUGACUCAACACGGGAAAUCUCACCAGGCCCGGACACCGGAAGGAUUGACAGAUUGAGAGCUCUUUCUUGAUUCGGUGGGUGGUGGUGCAUGGCCGUUCUUAGUUGGUGGAGCGAUUUGUCUGGUUAAUUCCGAUAACGAUCGAGACUCUGGCCUACUAAAUAGACGUCGAAUCUUUUAUAGGUUUGUCGUAUGCUUCUUAGAGGGACGGGCGGCGUUUAGCCGCACGAGAAUGAGCAAUAACAGGUCUGUGACGCCCUUAGAUGUUCUGGGCCGCACGCGCGCUACACUGAAGAAAUCAGCGUGUGUUCCUCAUCCGAAAGGAUUGGGUAACCCGUUGAACCUUCUUCGUGAUGGGGAUUGGGGAUUGCAAUUAUUCCCCAUGAACGAGGAAUUCCCAGUAGGCGCGAGUCAUAAGCUUGCGUCGAUUACGUCCCUGCCCUUUGUACACACCGCCCGUCGCUACUACCGAUCGAGUGAUUUAGUGAGGACUCCGGACUGGUCUCUGAUGUGACUCUCGGGUUAUGUCGGUGUACUGGAAAGUUGUCCAAACUUGAUUACUUAGAGGAAGUAAAAGUCGUA
RNAcentral lists this ribosomal RNA (1252 nucleotides) under metagenome. Its description in RNAcentral is "SSU rRNA". It matches the Rfam family "Eukaryotic small subunit ribosomal RNA", at positions 519 to 1793 of the family's 1831-position model. The record is from RNAcentral.